UACGAAGGGGGCUAGCGUUGUUCGGAAUUACUGGGCGUAAAGCGCGCGUAGGCGGGCUGUUAAGUGAGAGGUGAAAGGCUGGGGCUUAACCCCAUGCAGUGCCUCUCAUACUGGCGGUCUUGAGUGCGGCAGGGAGAAGUGGAAUGGCUGGUGUAGCGGUGAAAUGCGUAGAUAUCAGUCGGAACACCUGAGGUGAAGACGGGUUGCUGGUCUAACACUGACGCUGAGGCGCGAAAGCCAGGGGAGCAAACGGG
Molecule: ribosomal RNA, 254 nt
Filed under: uncultured bacterium
Lineage: Bacteria
Description: partial 16S ribosomal RNA
Rfam family: Bacterial small subunit ribosomal RNA
Source: RNAcentral